Molecule: ribosomal RNA, 678 nt
Filed under: Salmonella enterica subsp. enterica serovar Derby
Lineage: Bacteria; Pseudomonadati; Pseudomonadota; Gammaproteobacteria; Enterobacterales; Enterobacteriaceae
Also listed under: 1 other name
Description: bacterial SSU rRNA
Rfam family: Bacterial small subunit ribosomal RNA
Source: RNAcentral
UAGACCGCCUGGGGAGUACGGCCGCAAGGUUAAAACUCAAAUGAAUUGACGGGGGCCCGCACAAGCGGUGGAGCAUGUGGUUUAAUUCGAUGCAACGCGAAGAACCUUACCUGGUCUUGACAUCCACGGAAGUUUUCAGAGAUGAGAAUGUGCCUUCGGGAACCGUGAGACAGGUGCUGCAUGGCUGUCGUCAGCUCGUGUUGUGAAAUGUUGGGUUAAGUCCCGCAACGAGCGCAACCCUUAUCCUUUGUUGCCAGCGAUUAGGUCGGGAACUCAAAGGAGACUGCCAGUGAUAAACUGGAGGAAGGUGGGGAUGACGUCAAGUCAUCAUGGCCCUUACGACCAGGGCUACACACGUGCUACAAUGGCGCAUACAAAGAGAAGCGACCUCGCGAGAGCAAGCGGACCUCAUAAAGUGCGUCGUAGUCCGGAUUGGAGUCUGCAACUCGACUCCAUGAAGUCGGAAUCGCUAGUAAUCGUGGAUCAGAAUGCCACGGUGAAUACGUUCCCGGGCCUUGUACACACCGCCCGUCACACCAUGGGAGUGGGUUGCAAAAGAAGUAGGUAGCUUAACCUUCGGGAGGGCGCUUACCACUUUGUGAUUCAUGACUGGGGUGAAGUCGUAACAAGGUAACCGUAGGGGAACCUGCGGUUGGAUCACCUCCUUACCUUAAAGAA